Molecule: ribosomal RNA, 465 nt
Filed under: Vreelandella stevensii
Lineage: Bacteria; Pseudomonadati; Pseudomonadota; Gammaproteobacteria; Oceanospirillales; Halomonadaceae
Description: partial 16S ribosomal RNA
Rfam family: Bacterial small subunit ribosomal RNA
Source: RNAcentral
CCUACGGGAGGCUGCAGUGGGGAAUAUUGGACAAUGGGCGAAAGCCUGAUCCAGCCAUGCCGCGUGUGUGAAGAAGGCCUUCGGGUUGUAAAGCACUUUCAGUGGGGAAGAAAGCCUUGGGGCUAAUACCCUCGAGGAAGGACAUCACCCACAGAAGAAGCACCGGCUAACUCCGUGCCAGCAGCCGCGGUAAUACGGAGGGUGCGAGCGUUAAUCGGAAUUACUGGGCGUAAAGCGCGCGUAGGCGGUCUGAUAAGCCGGUUGUGAAAGCCCCGGGCUCAACCUGGGAACGGCAUCCGGAACUGUCAGGCUAGAGUGCAGGAGAGGAAGGUAGAAUUCCCGGUGUAGCGGUGAAAUGCGUAGAGAUCGGGAGGAAUACCAGUGGCGAAGGCGGCCUUCUGGACUGACACUGACGCUGAGGUGCGAAAGCGUGGUUAGCAAACAGGAUUAGAUACCCCAGUAGUC